This 797-nucleotide long non-coding RNA is filed under the name Phasianus colchicus (ring-necked pheasant). RNAcentral describes it as "lncRNA (ENSPCLG00000006264.1)". The record is from RNAcentral. Lineage: Eukaryota; Metazoa; Chordata; Aves; Galliformes; Phasianidae.
AUGGAGAAUGAAGACACACUAUGUCUGUUGUCUUGGUCUAAAGCCAUGAUGGAGUCCCUUCUGCCAUGGCCCCAGACGUCGGGUGAUGGGCACCGUGCAGAUGUGCCCCAAGGGCACCUGCAGCACCAGGCUGGCCUCCAUAGGGUGCAUUUACUCAUUCCCAUCGUGCCUACAGUGAUGUGGUGGUCCCAUGCUGUGCACUCCUGUUCCCCGUGGCCCUCAGUGGGGUCUGGUGGUUCACACUGUGCUCUCCAAGGCAGAGCCGUGCCCAGCAGCCAGGCUGCGCAUCCCUUGCUGUGGAAGCAGGCUCGGCUCAAGCAGCGCAGGUUGAGGGAUGCAAAUUCAGCUGGAGUUUCAGCAAGAGGUGUGAAUUCUGCUGCUUCCCCCCAUACACACACACACACGUGUGGAUUGCUGUGCCAGCAGGAAAGCCCUCCUGUUGCCCUGCUGGGAAAGGUACAGGCAAAUCUAGUCAAUACACACCCUAAGGCUGCUGCAUUUUCUGGGUCUUCACCUAGCAAAUGAGGGAGGGCUUUGGCAUCAGGAAUUUGUUGCCCACAGAAGUAAUUUAGGUUAUGCUCAAGUCAUAGAAUCGUGGAAUGGCUUGGGUUGGAAGGGACCUCAGAGAUCAUGGAAUGGCAUCUUUCGAGUAAAUUAAAUAGGUGGAACUCCUUGAGCCUCCCUGUAUGCUGUGGGUUCUGCAGACUCCAGUCAGUCCUGUAGCACUUUUUGAGGAAGCUUUAACAUUUUUUAACGUUGUUUGUGAAAGCUGAAAUUUAGAAGAGCUGUCUUGUAAU